UCUCCUCGUGCAAUUUUUCAGC
RNAcentral lists this non-coding RNA (22 nucleotides) under Arabidopsis thaliana (thale cress). Lineage: Eukaryota; Viridiplantae; Streptophyta; Magnoliopsida; Brassicales; Brassicaceae. The record is from RNAcentral.